UUAGAGUUUGAUCCUGGCUCAGGAUGAACGCUGGCGGCGUGCCUAAUACAUGCAAGUCGAGCGAACGGACGAGAAGCUUGCUUCUCUGAUGUUAGCGGCGGACGGGUGAGUAACACGUGGAUAACCUACCUAUAAGACUGGGAUAACUUCGGGAAACCGGAGCUAGUACCGGAUAAUAUUUUGAACCGCAUGGUUCAAAAGUGAAAGACGGUCUUGCUGUCACUUAUAGAUGGAUCCGCGCUGCAUUAGCUAGUUGGUAAGGUAACGGCUUACCAAGGCAACGAUGCAUAGCCGACCUGAGAGGGUGAUCGGCCACACUGGAACUGAGACACGGUCCAGACUCCUACGGGAGGCAGCAGUAGGGAAUCUUCCGCAAUGGGCGAAAGCCUGACGGAGCAACGCCGCGUGAGUGAUGAAGGUCUUCGGAUCGUAAAACUCUGUUAUUAGGGAAGAACAUAUGUGUAAGUAACUGUGCACAUCUUGACGGUACCUAAUCAGAAAGCCACGGCUAACUACGUGCCAGCAGCCGCGGUAAUACGUAGGUGGCAAGCGUUAUCCGGAAUUAUUGGGCGUAAAGCGCGCGUAGGCGGUUUUUUAAGUCUGAUGUGAAAGCCCACGGCUCAACCGUGGAGGGUCAUUGGAAACUGGAAAACUUGAGUGCAGAAGAGGAAAGUGGAAUUCCAUGUGUAGCGGUGAAAUGCGCAGAGAUAUGGAGGAACACCAGUGGCGAAGGCGACUUUCUGGUCUGUAACUGACGCUGAUGUGCGAAAGCGUGGGGAUCAAACAGGAUUAGAUACCCUGGUAGUCCACGCCGUAAACGAUGAGUGCUAAGUGUUAGGGGGUUUCCGCCCCUUAGUGCUGCAGCUAACGCAUUAAGCACUCCGCCUGGGGAGUACGACCGCAAGGUUGAAACUCAAAGGAAUUGACGGGGACCCGCACAAGCGGUGGAGCAUGUGGUUUAAUUCGAAGCAACGCGAAGAACCUUACCAAAUCUUGACAUCCUUUGACAACUCUAGAGAUAGAGCCUUCCCCUUCGGGGGACAAAGUGACAGGUGGUGCAUGGUUGUCGUCAGCUCGUGUCGUGAGAUGUUGGGUUAAGUCCCGCAACGAGCGCAACCCUUAAGCUUAGUUGCCAUCAUUAAGUUGGGCACUCUAAGUUGACUGCCGGUGACAAACCGGAGGAAGGUGGGGAUGACGUCAAAUCAUCAUGCCCCUUAUGAUUUGGGCUACACACGUGCUACAAUGGACAAUACAAAGGGUAGCGAAACCGCGAGGUCAAGCAAAUCCCAUAAAGUUGUUCUCAGUUCGGAUUGUAGUCUGCAACUCGACUACAUGAAGCUGGAAUCGCUAGUAAUCGUAGAUCAGCAUGCUACGGUGAAUACGUUCCCGGGUCUUGUACACACCGC
This 1406-nucleotide ribosomal RNA is filed under the name uncultured microorganism. RNAcentral describes it as "bacterial SSU rRNA". It matches the Rfam family "Bacterial small subunit ribosomal RNA". The record is from RNAcentral.